AGCACAGUAGUUGCAGUCUGUUGCAGGCCUUCAACAGCCUUCACUCAUUGAUGCAUAUUGUCCUUAAAUGGAACAGCCAUGGCAGCUCUAAGAGCUAAAGUUACAGGCUGUUGGAAAGUCAUUGCACUCCUAAGUGUAUUGUCACCUCGUGCGUCCCUCACCUCAGAUGGAGAUCUGCAGCUCAGGCUGCAGAGGAGCACUGGGCCGAACACCACCGUGCCUCUCAAACAGAGCAAUUUCCUCCAGCACUCAGCAGCCCUGAGCCUGGCUGAGACGGAGAGAAGGAGAUGGAGAGAAUGUGAAUCUGGGAGGGAAAGGACACCAGAGCCUCUGGAGUGGAGCACUUGGAUGGGUUUCACACAUACUGAAAUCAUAAAGCAUGAAUAGGCCAUUUAUAAAACUGCUGUACUAUG
Molecule: long non-coding RNA, 413 nt
Organism: Alosa alosa (allis shad)
Lineage: Eukaryota; Metazoa; Chordata; Actinopteri; Clupeiformes; Clupeidae
Exons: 2
Source: RefSeq, a predicted model, not a curated record